RNAcentral lists this long non-coding RNA (241 nucleotides) under Brassica napus (rape). Its description in RNAcentral is "long non-coding RNA (BNAP_LNC022152)". Lineage: Eukaryota; Viridiplantae; Streptophyta; Magnoliopsida; Brassicales; Brassicaceae. The record is from RNAcentral.
GCAUAUGCAAUUAGAGAGUACCAUUGAGUCAUUGACGGUUGUUCCUUGAGAUGCGGAGGCAGAGAAGAUAUUUAGUUUUACUUUUUUCAACAUUUUUAAUAUUUAGUAAUCUGUCUUUAUGUUUUCUCUUGCAUAUGUUUAACGUGAUAUUUCUGAACAAUAGUCUUUUAAAAUAUUGUUUCAUAACGCUGUAAUAUAUUCUUUAAAAAUAAAUAAUAAUAUAAAAUAGGGUUAAUUAGCU